Molecule: non-coding RNA, 24 nt
Filed under: Arabidopsis thaliana (thale cress)
Lineage: Eukaryota; Viridiplantae; Streptophyta; Magnoliopsida; Brassicales; Brassicaceae
Also listed under: 1 other name
Source: RNAcentral
GGGUAGAAUCCUUUGCAGACGACU